ACGUCGGUAGUGCAAUUGGCUGAGCACGCGCCCCAGUAAAGGUCGAAAUGCGGGUUCAGGUCCCGCCUGAAGCC
Parelaphostrongylus tenuis is the source of this 74-nucleotide non-coding RNA. NCBI's taxonomy places the organism in Eukaryota, Metazoa, Nematoda, Chromadorea, Rhabditida, Metastrongylidae. The record is from the annotation of a GenBank genome assembly.